UCCGCCAGCUGAUCCGAGACGGGAGCCGGCGCGCGCGGCGCGGGGGGAGGCGGCGGCAUCGGGCCGGGCCGGGUCAGGCCGGGCCGGGCCGGGCCGCGUCGCGCCGCAGCGGGGCUGCUCCGCUCCGCGCCGCGCAGGUGCUGCCCUGCCGCCCCGCUCCUGGCUAACCAGCACCAGUUCUUCAGUGGCAAGCUUUAUGUUCUUCUCUAGUAGCUAAAGCUGCCAGUUGAAGAACUGUUGAAUGUAGCCACUCGCUUCUCAUCACCGCAAUCUUGGAUGUCAGAGCCGGACCUGUGCCCUGAGCAACCGGCAGGAGCCCGGACUGCAGCAUCCUGUGGAUUUGAGGGCUGAGGAUGAGCCCGACCGGGAUGAAGAAGUCUCCUCGCAGCCUCCGAACAGAGCCUUGGCUGGAGGAUUGCCAGGCAGCCCUGCCAGCUGCGGGGCUGUUGAGCAGGGCCCCCCCCCCCCCCCUGCCCCUGCCAGUGGGGUGGCACUGAGCUGAGAGACAACUAGAGAAGAACAAAAGAGGCAUUAAACUUUCUGUUUUGCUCAACA
Long non-coding RNA from Falco peregrinus (peregrine falcon), 555 nucleotides. RefSeq lists it as uncharacterized. The record is from RefSeq and is a predicted model, not a curated record. Lineage: Eukaryota; Metazoa; Chordata; Aves; Falconiformes; Falconidae. The transcript is spliced from 2 exons.